RNAcentral lists this microRNA precursor (158 nucleotides) under Pelobates cultripes (western spadefoot toad). The record is from RNAcentral. Lineage: Eukaryota; Metazoa; Chordata; Amphibia; Anura; Pelobatidae.
CCACCUUGCUCCAAUCAGCAGCAGACCCUCCCUCCCAGACCCUUCCACCUCCUGGACAGCAUCCAUUUUACAUUCAUUGUGAAGCUGCAUUCUUAGUGAGCUGUCCAGGAGGUGGGAGGGUCUGGGAGGGAGGGUCUGCUGCUGAUUGGCUGGAAUGU